CUUUGCUCAAGUUAGGGCGAGGUUCUCCUCCUGUCCCUAACAGGGCUGUGGGGGCACAUAAGGGCAUUGUAAGGCCUCUCCCCCCAUCCGGUCUAAAAGGAACCGGGCCUUCGACUUUGCUCAAGUUAGGGCGAGGUUCUCCUCCUGUCCCUAACAGGGCUGUGGGGGCAUAUAAGGGCGUUGUAAGGCCUCUCCCCCCAUCCGGUCUAAAAGGAACCGGGUCUUCGACUUUGCUCAAGUUAGGGCGAGGUUCUCCUCCUGUCCCUAACAGGGCUGUGGGGGCACAUAAGGGUGUUGUAAGGCCUCUCCCCCCAUCCGGUCUAAAAGGAACCGGGCCUUCGACUUUGCUCAAGUUAGGGCGAGGUUCUCCUCCUGUCCCUAAUAGGGCUGUGGGGGCACAUAAGGGCGUUGUAAGGCCUCUCCCCCCAUCCGGUCUAAAAGGAACCAGGCCUUCGACUUUAUGAGAUUGCCCUUUUGUUUUUGAUACAGUUUGCUUGAAUUGUCCAAAGACACAUGGGUGUGUGAUUUUCGAUUAAAACGAAGUCACUGGUAGUACAUCCGUAAGUUUUCUGAGUUCCACGGUCGCGGGAGGUCGGCUCCUCCGAGCUCCUUGAGAUAAUAAGUUCCGGGCCGAACUACUUCUUUGACCUCAUAAGGUCCCUCCCAGUUCGGGGCGAGCUUCCUCCGGUCCUGAGGUUGCGAGACAGCAGCUCGUCGAAGCACUAGAUCUCCUGCUUUAAAGGCUUUGUUCUUGACCCGGGCGUUGUGAUAUCGAGCAACUUUCUGUCUGUAGGCUGCCAUUCGAACCUGAGCAAUCUUCCGUCUUUCU
RNAcentral lists this long non-coding RNA (829 nucleotides) under Elaeis guineensis (African oil palm). Its description in RNAcentral is "long non-coding RNA (EGUI_LNC011009)". The record is from RNAcentral. Lineage: Eukaryota; Viridiplantae; Streptophyta; Magnoliopsida; Arecales; Arecaceae.